This 447-nucleotide ribosomal RNA is filed under the name uncultured bacterium. RNAcentral describes it as "bacterial SSU rRNA". It matches the Rfam family "Bacterial small subunit ribosomal RNA", at positions 100 to 565 of the family's 1533-position model. The record is from RNAcentral.
GGACGGGUGAGUAACGCGUGGGUAACCUGCCUUGUACAGGGGGACAACAGUUAGAAAUGACUGCUAAUACCGCAUAAGCGCACAGGAGCACAUGCUCUAGUGUGAAAAACUUCGGUGGUACAAGAUGGACCCGCGUCUGAUUAGCUAGUUGGUAAGGUAACGGCCUACCAAGGCAACGAUCAGUAGCCGGCCUGAGAGGGUGAACGGCCACAUUGGGACUGAGACACGGCCCAAACUCCUACGGGAGGCAGCAGUGGGGAAUAUUGGACAAUGGGGGAAACCCUGAUCCAGCGACGCCGCGUGAGUGAAGAAGUAUUUCGGUAUGUAAAGCUCUAUCAGCAAGGAAGAAAAUGACGGUACUUGACUAAGAAGCCCCGGCUAACUACGUGCCAGCAGCCGCGGUAAUACGUAGGGGGCAAGCGUUAUCCGGAUUUACUGGGUGUAAAG